AUUCUUGUAGUUAAAGAUUGAUAACGGUGAUUUUUCAGGUCGCAAAUCUCGGAUAAAGGCCGAGCAAGAAUU
RNAcentral lists this transfer RNA (72 nucleotides) under Drymodes brunneopygia. Its description in RNAcentral is "tRNA-Glu". The record is from RNAcentral. Lineage: Eukaryota; Metazoa; Chordata; Aves; Passeriformes; Petroicidae.